UCCUUGGUGGCUCAGAAGGUAAAGAAUCUGCCUGCAAUGCAGGAAACCUGAGUUCAAUCCCUAGUUAGGGAA
This 72-nucleotide transfer RNA is filed under the name Capra hircus (goat). It matches the Rfam family "tRNA". Rfam says of the family: Transfer RNA (tRNA) molecules are approximately 80 nucleotides in length. Their secondary structure includes four short double-helical elements and three loops (D, anti-codon, and T loops). Further hydrogen bonds mediate the characteristic L-shaped molecular structure. tRNAs have two regions of fundamental functional importance: the anti-codon, which is responsible for specific mRNA codon recognition, and the 3' end, to which the tRNAs corresponding amino acid is attached (by aminoacyl-tRNA synthetases). tRNAs cope with the degeneracy of the genetic code in two manners: having more than one tRNA (with a specific anti-codon) for a particular amino acid; and 'wobble' base-pairing, i.e. permitting non-standard base-pairing at the 3rd anti-codon position. Lineage: Eukaryota; Metazoa; Chordata; Mammalia; Artiodactyla; Bovidae. RNAcentral also lists the same sequence under 1 other name. The record is from Rfam by way of RNAcentral.